AGAGUUUGAUCAUGGCUCAGAACGAACGCUGGCGGCGUGCUUAACACAUGCAAGUCGCGUGCGCAGUUUCCGUAGCAAUACGGGGAUGGGCGCACGGCGCACGGGUGCGUAACACGUGGGCAAUCUGCCCUCCGAUGGGGAAUACCCCCGCGAAAGCGGGACUAAUUCCGCAUAACAUUCCUUGGAUUAACUUUCGAGGAUUCAAAGCAGCAAUGCGUCGGAGGAGGAGCCCGCGCCCGAUUAGCUAGUUGGUGAGGUAACGGCUCACCAAGGCAAUGAUCGGUAGCUGGUCUGAGAGGAUGGCCAGCCACACUGGAACUGAGACACGGUCCAGACUCCUACGGGAGGCAGCAGUGGGGAAUCUUGCACAAUGGGCGAAAGCCUGAUGCAGCGACGCCGCGUGGGGGAUGAAGCUUUUCGGAGUGUAAACCCCUUUCGACUGGGACGAAUGCCUCGCAAGAGGAGUGACGGUACCAGUACAAGAAGCCCCGGCUAACUACGUGCCAGCAGCCGCGGUAAGACGUAGGGGGCCAGCGUUGUUCGGAAUUACUGGGUGUAAAGGGUUCGUAGGCGGUGUGGCAAGUCGGGAGUGAAAUCUCUGGGCUCAACCCAGAGACUGCUUCCGAAACUGCUGUGCUUGAGUGUGAGAGAGGCUCGUGGAAUUGCAGGUGUAGCGGUGAAAUGCGUAGAUAUCUGCAGGAACACCCGUGGCGAAAGCGGCGAGCUGGAUCACUACUGACGCUGAGGAACGAAAGCUAGGGGAGCAAACAGGAUUAGAUACCCUAGUAGUCC
This 792-nucleotide ribosomal RNA is filed under the name uncultured bacterium. RNAcentral describes it as "bacterial SSU rRNA". It matches the Rfam family "Bacterial small subunit ribosomal RNA", at positions 8 to 796 of the family's 1533-position model. The record is from RNAcentral.